UACGAAGGGGGCUAGCGUUGCUCGGAAUCACUGGGCGUAAAGCGCACGUAGGCGGAUCUUUAAGUCAGGGGUGAAAUCCCGAGGCUCAACCUCGGAACUGCCUUUGAUACUGGGGAUCUCGAGUCCGGGAGAGGUGAGUGGAACUGCGAGUGUAGAGGCGAAAUUCGUAGAUAUUCGCAAGAACACCAGUGGCGAAGGCGGCUCACUGGCCCGGAACUGACGCUGAGGCACGAAAGCGUGGGGAGCAAACAGG
Molecule: ribosomal RNA, 253 nt
Filed under: uncultured bacterium
Lineage: Bacteria
Description: partial 16S ribosomal RNA
Rfam family: Bacterial small subunit ribosomal RNA
Source: RNAcentral